GCCGUGGUGACCCGUGGGCUAAUGGGAAAGGACCUUGGUUCUAUUUGGCUUUUUCCUGACGUAUGAUCAGAGAACAAUAACCUGGCUUCUCUGGGGAUGCAUUCCCUCACUCAAAAAAAAGGUGAGUUCCCACCCUCCAACAACUGUUUCCCUGGGUAGCCGUGAUGAUUAGGGGAUCUAAUGAUGGGAAAGGCGCUUUACAAACCCCAAAGCCUAGGGUGAAUACAAGCGACUGUUUCUGUCUUUACCCGUAUGUUUCCUAACUGUCAAAGCAUGUGGAACCCCGCUUCAGACUUGUUCUUCAUUCGUUUCUGAAACAGGGCCGAGAAUGGCUGAGGCUUGCCGCCAACUCACUGUAUAGGAUUCUUGUCUCUCCCUUCCAGAGGGUGCUGAGAUUAUAGCAUUGGUGCCAUGCCGGGGUUGAUGGAGUACUGCGGAUCAAUGGCGGGGCCUCCCACAUGCUAGGCAAAUAUUCUACCAACUGAAUCUUAUCCCCAACCUGGAAAGUUUUCGGCACCCAAGAACCUUACCUAUAUUAUUAUUAACCUUUAAGAAUAUGUGAGGGGGUUGGGGAUUUAGCUCAGUGGUAGAGCGCUUGCCUAGGAAGCGCAAGGCCCUGGGUUCAGUCCCCAGCUCCGGAAAAAAAGAACCAAAAAAAAAAAAAAAAGAAUAUGUGAGCUACAACAAUGGCUGACACGAUCUUUCCCCGGGCCCAACAGUUGGCAAGGCUAUUAUGAGAACAACCAACCCCUUUCUGAUUGGAUUUAAGAUCCACUCCGAAGAAGAAGACACAUGCCUGGGGUUGUAGAUCCGCAAAGAUUCCACGGUUGGGCGACUCAGGCUCAGAAGGUGAAUUUACUAUUAUUUUUGCUAAAUACAGCAUUGCUUUUCAAAUGCUCAUGUCUAUAUCCAAAGACUCCAGGAGCUCUCUCAGCAGUGAAUGGUGGGUGCCUCUGGGCAGUGGUGGUUAACACGGACACUCGCAAGGUCAGGAUGCAGAGGACUCGGGUCUGUGGAGUGCUGAACCACACCUGGGACAACUAUGUCAUUUCCCGCCAAGGCUUGGUCAGGAGAGCAGGCAGGACGAUGGUAAAAACUCGAGGUUGGGUAGGACUGGGCUGAAGCUGUGUCUGAAGCUGGAUAUGGCAGGGUUGUCCUGCUCCCAGAGCCUCAGCAGCUGUGUUUUCCUGCACAAGAUCAAGCCAAUUAACAUCCCAGGGUGGAGGGGGAGGGGUCAUUCUAGCUUCUUUUCUGUGUCUGUGAGGAAACAAAAGCAACCCAAGGAAGGAAAGGGCUUACUUAUUUGGCUUACACCUCCAGGUCCCCUUCACUGAGGGAGGGCAGGGCAGGAGCAGAAGCCCCAGAGGAACUGUGUUCACUGCCUCAAGCAUACCCACGCUGAGGACAGAAGCGCCUGGUCAGGAGUGGUACUGCCUACAGCAGGCUGUGUCCUUCAGCAACUGCCAUCAAGACAACGUCUACUGACGUGACUGUAUGACAAUCCGAUUGAGGCCAUUUUUCAGGUGAGAGUCUUUCUUCCCAGGUGGCGACCCUAUGCUGUGUCUGAAAUUGACAACCGAACUCUCCAGGAACUCCUGAGCCCCCACCUCUAGCUGAAGAGCUAGUGACAGUUGGUGGCUUACAGCAGAGGCAGUUUAUUUUAAGUAUGUGGUAUUGGUUGACCACACUCUGGUGGAGAGGCUCUCACACAUAAAUAUGUGCGGCACAAAUUGGUCUUGGUGAGUUAUUAGGGGGGAAGAAGAGGGUUGGGAGGGUAUUGGGGUGGAUCUGGGAGGAGUCAGGAGAUGCCUAUGAAUAAAAAUACGUUGUAUGCACAUCUGAAACUCUCGAAAGUUAAUAAAAAAUAUUGUGUCAAAAAUAAACAUGUGGGGGUUGGGGAUUUAGCUCAGUGGUAGAGCACUUGCCUAGCAAGCGCAAGGCUCUGGGUUCCAUCCCCAGCUCCGAAAAACAAUAACAACAACAACAACACCCCCCCCAAAAAAAAAAGCAUGUGGGCUCUUCCCUGUUCUGACUUCAACGUGGAACACCCUUCAGUGUGUUUGAACACUUAACAGCACUAACACAAAUCCAGCAGGCUUGGUUUACUGGAAGCAUCAAGAGGGGCACUCAGGAGUAAACAAUACUGGCUGGGGCUGAGUUCUCUGUCCCAAGCUGGCUUGCCUGCUGCUAGGGGCUGGGAGUGCUUGUCUCUCUCUCUCUCCUCUGUCAGAUCUUCCCACAGGCUGAGACUCGACCUCUACACCCAAACACACGCGCAUAGACACACACAGACAGACAGACAAACACACAGAUGCACACACAGACAUAGUUCCCCCCUCCGUCCCCCCCCCCACCUGCUCCCUGACUUCCCACAGCUCUGUGCUACCUGUUGUCUUUACAAACAGGUGACAAGCAGGGCUGAGCUGAACAGUUUGUUACUGUGGCUGAGCCUUUGCCUCCCUUAGGGCAACGCUGCUUGUGAAGAACUUGUUACUUAAGUAACGGAAUCUGUGCUCCGACUUUAGGAGUUCUGUUGGCCCUGAGAGGAAAGGCAGGGCCAACAGGAAGUGGGUAUCCUUUGUCCUUUAGACACAGAGAUUGAAAGAGAAGAUGGUUACAGUCCGCACUCCACUCGGGAGGGAAGUCAGACUUCUCUUGUGAGUUCAAAGGCGUCCCUGAGAAGAGCUGGAGUGGCCUUUAAAGUGAAAAGCUUAGGUGAUUUAAAUGAGCAAGCCUUCACAGACUCGGAGAAGGUAAGCAACAGGUGUGGCCAGCACCGUGAAGAAGCGACGACCAGAGAGGGCAAACGGUGUCUGACGAUGUCAUCUGUCUGAAAAAUCGCGUGUAGCUGCAGGUAUGUGAGUGUGUGUGGCGAAGAGACAGGGAAGGAGGAGGUCGGCCAUUAACAGGACCUGAAUGAGGAACGGGAGGGGCGGAGAGGGGUGUGUCAGGAAAAGGGGUGACUCUCUUUUUGGUUAUCUGCACUCGCCCGCGAGUUGUUUUCUUUUCCUUGUGCAGAUUAAAAUAAAAGCAAAGAAAUCUAACGGCCAGAAGAGGCCCCGAAGUCACUCUUUAAUCUAUAGAAAACUCUUAAAUUUUUAAGAAUAUGAGUCUUCUGGGACAAAGACCUUCCUGGUCUGGGCAUAUUGAAUAAACCGGUUUGCAAGCUGAUUCAGACUCCUGCUCUAACCAAAGAAGGUAGAUGACAUAGAAUAUCUUGGGAAACUCUCCCCAGCAAACAAAAAGGAAACAUUUCUCUCUCCUUCCUUCUCCUCCUCUUCUUUCUCCUCUCCUCCCUCCCCUCCCUCCCCUUCUUCCUUCUCUCUCUCCCCUCCCCCCCCCUCUGCUCCAUAUUUGUCCCUGCAUUUCUUGUACAUGGGGUAAGCUAGACCCAAAGGGACACACAUGGUAUGUACUCACUUAGAAGUGGAUAUCAGCCAUUUUAAAGGAAUGGGCAAAUCUCAGAGGACCCAGAGUCCUUGGGACUAUCAUUUAACAGGCACAUCCUACUUAAAAGGACCCAAUCAUGCAUUUGAAUAUUAAAGGGAAGAAGUCACAGUUAAAAACCAGCCCCUCUCAGAACUGGGGGCUGUGUUCCCUCAGCGCUGGUUUUUGGUUGGCACAGUAAGACAAUCUUACCGCCUUUCGGCUUUUAGAUUAAUUUUUAUGUUUUUGCUUUUUUCUGGCCUUUUUUUUUUUUUUUUUGGUUGCUAUUCUUUGUCUGAGAUAGGGUCUUCUGUAGCCCAGGCUAGUUUGGAACUCCCUAUGUAGCCGAGGAUGGCCCUGAACUUCUGACCCUCCUUCCUUUCCCAGGGUUGAGUUUAUAAAGCUGUGCUGUCACAACAGGUUUUGUGCAGGGCUGGGGACAGAGCCCAGGGCUUCCCGGCCGCCAGGCAAGCACUCUGCUCACAGAGCCUCCCCCAGCCCCUGGAUUACCUUUAAACCAAACCAAACCAAACCAAAACAAAACAAAAACCCAAACAAACCCCAAAACCAAAACCAAAUCCUAAGCACGUGGGUGCUUCAGUACAGUGCUUGGUACCUGUGAGGCCAGAAGAGGGUGUUGGAUCCCUGAAGCUGCCGGGCGGGUGCUGGGAAUCAAACCUGGGUCCUUGGGAAGAGCAGCCAUUGCUCCUUAACUACAGAAUCAUUUGUCUAAUCCUUUUUCCUUUUUUUUUUUUUUUUUUUUUCAGAGCUGGGGACUGAACCCAGGGCCUUGCGCUUGCUAGGCAAGCGCUCUACCACUGAGCCAAAUCCCCAACCCCCUUUUCUUUUUUUUAAAAAAGAUUUAUUUAUUCAUUUUAUGUAUAUGAGUACACUCUAGCUGUCUUCAUGCACACCAAAAGAGGGCAUCAGAUCUCAUUUCAGAUGGUUGUGAGCCACCAUGUGGUUGCUGGGAAUUGAACUCAGGACCUCUGGAAGAGCAGUCAGUGCUCUUAACCACUGAGCCAUCUCUCCAGCCCCAGUCCUUCUUCAAGUGAAUUAGAUGAAGGUUUAAUUUCACAACUACCUGUGAAUUCAGCUCCAGGAAACCCCACACACCCUGUUCUGGACUCACAAGGUAUUUGUGCCCAGACCCCCAGGCUGACACACACACACUCGCACACACACACACUUUAAAAAAUUGAUCUAAAAAUAAAUAAAAAGAAUUGAGACCCUAUUUUACAAAAAUAAAAAAAAAUUGUUUUUGAAGAAGCCAGGCAGUGAUGGUGUACACCUUUAAACCCAGCACUUGGGAGACAGAGGCAGGUGGAUCUCUGUGAGUGCAAGGCCAGCCUGGUCUGCACAGUGAGUUCCAAGACAGCCAAGUGACACAGAAAAACCCUGUCUUGAAAAAAAAAAAAAAACAAAAAAAAAAGAAAAAAUACAUUGAGAAAAAAAUGGGGGUAGGGGUAGGUCUGCAGAGAUGGCUCAUGGGUUAAGAACAUUUGCUGCUCUUAAAGAGACCCCAGGUUAUCUCCCAGCUGGUUAACUCAUUAUCACAUCUAACACCAGCUCAGGGAUCUGAUGCUCUCUCCUGCCCUCCACAGGUGUCCACACACAUGUGGCAUACACAGACACAGAUGCAAGCGUAUGCACAUAAAUAAAAAAUGCAUUUAAAGAAGAGGACUGGGUACAGAGGUACAGGGCUUAGCCUGGGCGUGGUCCACCAUUUAAUUCCUAGAACUACAAUGAAUCAGUCGAUCAAUCAAUAAAUAGCCAAUGAAAUAAAUAAAUACCAAUGAAAACGAGUCAGUAAAUAAUAAAAACACCCUCUCAUUGAUAACUCCUGGAAAGAGGUGAGGGUGGGGCAUAGCUUAGUUGAUGGAGUGCUUAUUUGGUAUAUGCAGGUUCCAGCAUGUUCGGUUUUCCAGAACUGAGUCAAACAGACAUGGAGACACUAAGCCAGCAUUGUAGCCUAGAAUUUCAAUCUCAGUACUUGGGAGGCAGAGGCAGGUAGAGCUCUGUGAGGUUAAGGAGGACUUGGUCUACAGGAUGAAUAUCUGUCUCAAAAAAAAAAAAAUCAAAUACAGCAGCAAUGAAAUAACCAUUCUGAAUUCUAUCUUCCUGAGAUUUACAUGGUUUCUAAAAAUGGCACGGGAACCAAAGGUUUAAAAAAAAAAAAAGAAAAGAAAAAAAUAAUAAAGACUGGGAGCCUAAUGUAAGCAGUUUUCAGUGACUCAAGACUUCUUUUAAGUCAUGCAUUCACAUGGUGUGUGUGUGUGUGUGUGUGUGUGUGUGUGAGUGUGUGUGUGUGAGUGUGUGUGUCUGUCUGUGUGUGUGAGUGUGUGUGUCUAUGUGUGUGAGUGUGUGUGUCUGUGUGUGAGUGUGUGUGAGUGUGUGUGUCUGUCUGUGUGUGUCUGUGUGUGUGUGUCUGUGUGUGUGAGUGUGUGUCUGUCUGUGUGUGUGUCUGUGUGUGUGUCUGUGAGUGUGUGUCUCUGUGUGUGUGUCUGUGUGUGUGAGUGUGUGUGUGUCUGUGUGUGUGUCUGUGAGUGUGUGAGUGUGUGUCUCUGUGUGUGUGUCUGUGAGUGUGUGUGUGUCUGUGAGUAUGUGAGUGUGUGUGUCUGUGUGUCUCUGUGUGUGUCUGUGAGUGUGUGUGUGAGUGUGUGUGUGUCUGUGAGUGUGUGAGUAUGUGUGUGUCUGUGUGUCUGUGUGUGUGUGUGUGUCUGAGUGUGUGUGCGCGCACAUGUGCGAUCUCUCUCAAAAGGGGAUUUAUCAGACUGACUCUUGUACGUGGUCCGGGAAGCCCAACAAUGGCUGCCUCUCACUGGAGAGGCCAAGAACCUGCUAGUUGUUCAGAUCAUAGUCCACAAGGCUGGAUGUCCCAGUAGCCCCGCCCUGGUGCUGCAGCCCUGGAGGAUUCCCAGAGAGCUACAGGACCUCAAUCUACACAGGAAUCCUGAAGAACUUAGUUACAAUAUCUGUGAAGGAAUGUCAGCAAUGGGACACAUGAACUUGGCAGCCAGAGUGAGGGCAAGCAGGCAAAAAGCCUGAAGUGUUCUUAAUAAACUAGAGUCAGAGGUACCUAUCACUUCCUCCUGUGGCUUUCUACAAACAGACCCAGGAACCGCGUGGCUGGAGCUGUCCGAGGUCAUCACUAUCAGGAGGUUGGGUGCCAUCUUGGAGACUGGUUACCACACUGACAACAGAACGUUGCAGAAGGUUGUUCCUGGCUGUAUCACUGAGCCACAUCCCCAGGGUCCAGGUCUCGAACUCAGAUCACUGGGCUUAGCGGCAAGCUCUUUGGUGCCAUAUCAUAGCCCCUCAUCAACUUUCCAUGAGGUAUCACUGACUACAUGAACCUGUACGGCCUGAAUCUUGUUGGUGGUAAGACAUGAUUUCACCAGUCUAAGUGCUGGACAACAACAUUCAGUCUCUCCUCUCCCCUCCCCCAGUUUUCUUCUAUCCUUUCCCUUCCUUUCCUUCUGUAGGGGAACAGUUCUCAACCUGUGGGUGUUAAGAGCCACCGCUGUAUGCAUGUGUCCCGGGCUGGCCUGUAGGUUGCUGUGCAGCCAAAAUGACAGCUUGGGCCUCUGCUGCUUCUCCAGGAGAUUGUGUGCAUUUCCGUUAUGGCUGGUCUUGUCUGUCUGUUUGUUUUGUUUUGUUUUUACUGAGACUCAGACCCCUGGCUUCACGCAUGCUAGGUAAAUAUUCUAACAACGGAACCACAUCUCCAGCCCGUUUUUUCAACUUUUGGUUUCCUUUUUGAGGCAGGAUCUUGCUGUUUCCUGGCUGCCCUGAGACUCACUGUGUAGACCAGACUGGCCGUGUACUUCCAGCAAUCUUCCUGUCUCCGCCCCCUGAGCGCUGAAAUCAUAGGAAAGAAUUACCACGUCCAAUUUACACUGGGAAACCUGAGUUCCAGGCAUGGCUUGCGCCUCCUGUCUUAGUGGGAAAGUUGUCCUGUAGGCUACCCAGUGCUGGUCUGACCUCCUUUCUGUGUAUAUGUAACUUCUUAGAAAGACCUUUCGGUAGCCCUCUUGACUCUAGGCUCUCCUCCCCUCUCAGAGACAAGGUCUCAUUAUGUAGAUCAGGCUGGCCUCAAAUCAUAGAGAUCCACCUGGCCCUGGCCCUGCUGGGAGUGCGGGGAUCAAAGGUGUGCGCCACUAUGCCCAGUUUGUCUCUCCUCUCUUUUAGGGCCUAAUUUUGUAUUUUUUGUGGCACUCCACAAAAUACAAUUUUUUAUUAUUUAGAAAAUGAUUUAUUGAUUCUCCACCCCUAGAAAUAUAAACUCCUUGCCAAGCACAUCCACUUUAGUAUUUAUCCUCUGUUCCUAGUAUGAUGCCUGGUAUACGUAAAAGCUAUCUAUGAACUCUGAGUUAAUUAUUGAGGUCUGAGAUAUACACAGCUCGGUGGCAGAGUGCUUGCUUAACAUGCAAGAACCCUGGGUUCAAUCACAGCACGCGCACGCUCACACGCGCACACACACACAUACACACAUAUACACACAUACACACACAUACACACACAUACACACAUACACACAUACACACACAUACACACAUACACACACAUACACACAUACACACACACGCACACGCACACACACACACACAAUCUGUGAAUUCAUUAUUGACUCUGGGAGUGUAGUCACAGGCAGGUGACCAGUAUUUGAUCAUAGUCAGUUUGAUUUAUACGCAGGUGGCUUUUACUUGUUUUCUGUGCAAGGGUUGCCUUUCUGUGGAGUGGUGAUGCCCGGAUGUCUGUGCCGUGUGCACUGCGAGCACGAAGCUGCCAUGCCCGUUGAUACCAGAUGGAGGCAUCAUAGUAGACCUGUAUUACUAUUUCUUCUUCCUCCCGCCCCCUCCUCUUCUUCUUCUUCCUCCUCAUUGUUAUUUAUAUGUAUAUGUAUUUAUGUACAUGUGCCUAAAUAGGUCACCUGGAACUGGGGUUACAGGCAGUACUGUGGGUGCUGGGUGCUGUGGGUGCUGGGUGCUGGGUACUGUGGGUGCUGUGGGUGCUGGGUGCUAUUGGGUGCUGGGUGCUGGGUGCUGGGAGUGGAACUCAGGUCCUUUGCAAGAACAGUAAGUCCACGCUCUUUUCAGCUAAGCCGUCUGUCCAGCCUCACUGUUUUUCCUCCUGAGGUAGGGCCUUACUACUGAAUGCCCAGGCUGGCCUCGAACGUUGGCAGUCCUCUCACCUCAGGUCCCCUCAGUGGCUGGAUUACAAGGGUGAGCCACCCUACUCUGCUUGAAUCAUCUCUUUAAGCCCAUGGAUGGGCCAGAAUUCCUCCAGUUCCAGUCAAGGUAGGGGUUACAGUCAGGGAGCACUCAGCCCGCUUUAUUCUAUCAUAGGCUUCCCUUUGUUUCCGGUAAGAAUCUCUUCGCUGCGGCUGGCCCACAGGAGACGAUUAACCUAUCAAUGCGAGGAUCUCUUUGGGAUCCAGAAUUUGGUCUAAAGUUUUCAUCUUGUCUUUAGAAGCUGUCCAGGCAUGCGGGUUUAUGGAUCAAUUGUCUGUAAUUACCCCUUAAAACAAUGCCUGCGCCCAAAUAAAAGAUUAAUCAACGAUGCCCCUGGGCCCGUGCCCGAAUCAAAGAUUAAUCAAGGAGCUCUCUACUUGUCCCGAGAUUUAGACUUCAAGCCCUGCCCCGACUUGGUGCAGCAGUGCCUGGCGCAUUCGUCCCCAUGCCUGAGGUGUUUGGAUUCGGUGUCUCAAGAAAAAUAGCUGUUGGUCACCAAGGCCUGAAGCUUAAUUGAAUUUGCCUUAAUGCAUUUUGCCUUCUGACUUGCCAGCGUGGGAGUGGGAGCUGACGUCAGGAGACACGCCUCCUAAUACCCGAUCUUUGAGAGCGAGCGAGGUGUCUGAGGAUGUGGGAAGCCAUGAGAACGAGGAAGUUGUGGAUGUCUUGUAGGAUUUCUUUUCCAUCCUCUUAGCUUUAGGCAUUGACAAAUGAUGUAUCAGUCACCCCAGUAUCACCCAGAAUCAAGACAAGAGACCUAAAGUGAACUAUGACAUCAUUUUGGAAGAGUCCUGUGGUUUUUAUUUUGGUUGGAGUUGGCAUUUGAUUUAGGCUCCGCCCCACAGUUACCUGGCAACAGCCAGGUGAGCCUGACUCACUAUAAAAGGGGCUGCUUGGGUUGGGGAUUUAGCUCAGUGGUAGAGCGCUUGCCUAGCAAGCGCAAGGCCCUGGGUUCGGUCCUCAGCUCCGAGAGGAAAAAAAAAGGGGGGGGACUGCUUGCCCCCCCCUCUCUUGUCCUCUUGCUCUCUCUCUUCUUCCUGCUCCCCACCUCUCCCCGUUCCCCUCCCCUACUCUCUCUCCACUGCUCUUGGCCAGCCUCUACUUUUUCUCUCUCUCUCUCCCUCUCCCCUCCCCCUCCCUCUCUGCUCCCCUCCCCAUGCCUUGAAUAAACUCUAUUCUACACUAUAUCUCGGGGGUGGGUGGGGGGAUGCCUCAGCACAGGCCCACAGAUGCACUCCCUCACCCCCCACUGUGCCUAGACCAAACAUAUUCCUUCCUUCUUACCUUUUUUAUAAAACACACUGGUUAUAAACUCCUUUUUUCUUUUAGGGAACAAGAAGACAUGGGAAGGACGCCCUGGUUUGCCUUCCUGUUACUACAAUAAACAUCUUGACCAGAAGAAGUAA
Rattus norvegicus (Norway rat) is the source of this 10066-nucleotide non-coding RNA. NCBI's taxonomy places the organism in Eukaryota, Metazoa, Chordata, Mammalia, Rodentia, Muridae. The record is from RefSeq and is a predicted model, not a curated record.